RNAcentral lists this long non-coding RNA (1215 nucleotides) under Cicer arietinum (chickpea). RNAcentral's name for it is "long non-coding RNA (CARI_LNC002470)". The record is from RNAcentral. Lineage: Eukaryota; Viridiplantae; Streptophyta; Magnoliopsida; Fabales; Fabaceae.
ACUUAGAUAUAAAACACAUGAACUGAGUUGUCAGCAAACAACAAAAUCUCUUGCAGUUCCCUGUCAGCCCACCACCGCCAUAGUGAGAAAACCGAUCAUUAUUAUUUUCCAAUUUUCUUUCCCUUCUCACUGAGACGUGGGCGUCCGUGAUAAUGCAAUUUGGGGUUGUGAAUUAUGUAAAAAACAAAUUUAUCAUACACAUUUUCUCUUUUCUUGUUACUAUCUUGUUUGGUAUAUCUAGAUAGAAACGAUAUAUUUUCAAAAAUAAUAAAACAAUUAGUUGACAUAUUUAAUAAAUUGAGAUUGUUCUAGCCUACGAGAUUUAGUGAAAAAUGUUGUGAAAUGGUCGGUUAUAACAUUGCUAUACCAUUAUCUAUACCACUGCAUAACACUAGAAUUUGAACAUACAGUUAUCUUCAACGAAGCGAGCAAUUGGCGACACUAGGUAUAAGACAUGUUCUUGUACCAUGCCAUUCCAUUGUCUAGUUUCAAUUAUUAAGCUUAAUCAAUACUUCUCUGUCUCAACUUAGUUUUCGUUUCUUUGAAUUGAGUUAAGACAUUAAAUGACUGAUAUUUGUCUAAUUUAGUUUACAAAGUUGUUUACAUUUUAUCAGGUUAAAUUUCUUUCUUAAAUAAAAAAGAGUGUUUGAGUUUGGACUUUCUGCAAUUUCAAUAGAUGUUGUUUAUAACUUGUUUGCUAUUUGGAGGGGUGAUAGCCUUAGAGUUAUAUAUGAGUUGAUUUGUAUCAUUUUCUUUUGGUAUAGAUUUUUCAUAUUGUUGUGGUUGAUUGAUGUUUUUUUUAACAUACAAAAAUGUCAUUUUUGUUACUUUUCCAUUUCCCUAGUAAUCUAUUUUUCUUCAUUCAUGCCUAAACCGACUAUAACCUGCAUUUGACAAUGUGAGAGUGGAGUCUUGCCUUGCAACUGUAACCUUCCACAUUUGUCUGACAGCUGUUGUUUGUCCUCAAUUGCUGCUAGUGUGAUUGUCCUUCAACUUAUACUUUAUUCGACCAUUCAAAUAGUUAUUAGUAGUGAACAAAACACUUAACUUUCAAUACGGAUAAUAAUAUUCUAAAUUCAUACCUGGAGAGAGGAAAAAAGCAAUGUCGGGAGUGAAAAAUAAUUAAAAAAAUUUGUAAAAUAAAUUUUAGUCUUUGUACACAUUCAAACUACAUGACAAUGAUAACACGACAACUACAAUUCUACUAAGAAAAAG